UACGUAGGGUGCGAGCGUUAAUCGGAAUUACUGGGCGUAAGCGUGCGCAGGCGGUUCGUUGUGUCCGUCGUGAAAGCCCCGGCUAACCUGGGAACUGCGAUGGAAACUAGCGAGCUGGAGUGUGGCAGAGGGGGGUGGAAUUCCGCGUGUAGCAGUGAAAUGCGUAGAGAUGCGGAGGAACACCGAUGGCGAAGGCAGCCCCCUGGGCUAACACUGCGCUCAGGCACGAAAGCGUGGGGAGCAAACAGG
RNAcentral lists this ribosomal RNA (249 nucleotides) under uncultured bacterium. Its description in RNAcentral is "partial 16S ribosomal RNA". It matches the Rfam family "Bacterial small subunit ribosomal RNA", at positions 524 to 776 of the family's 1533-position model. The record is from RNAcentral.